UACGUGGGGGGCUAGCGUUGUCCGGAAUCAUUGGGCGUAAAGCGCGUGUAGGCGGUUCGGUAAGUCCGCUGUGAAAGUCGGGGGCUCAACCCUCGAAAGCCGGUGGAUACUGUCGGGCUAGAGUGCGGAAGAGGCGAGUGGAAUUCCUGGUGUAGCGGUGAAAUGCGUAGAGAUCGUAAGGAAGGCCAGUGGCGAAGGCGAGUUCCUGGACAGUGACUGACGCUGAGGCACGAAGGCCAGGGGAGCAAACGGG
This 253-nucleotide ribosomal RNA is filed under the name uncultured bacterium. RNAcentral's name for it is "partial 16S ribosomal RNA". It matches the Rfam family "Bacterial small subunit ribosomal RNA", at positions 524 to 776 of the family's 1533-position model. The record is from RNAcentral.